Molecule: ribosomal RNA, 516 nt
Filed under: Triticum aestivum (bread wheat)
Lineage: Eukaryota; Viridiplantae; Streptophyta; Magnoliopsida; Poales; Poaceae
Description: partial small subunit ribosomal RNA
Source: RNAcentral
AUGGUUGGGACUUCCCAUGUCUUUUACUUUAGCUUAACCCCCAAGUCUCAAGUUUCUUUUCUUGCGAGGUAUACCUAUGGAGCGGCGGAGGCUGGCGGCAGGGGCGAGUCUACUGGUGGCGAAGGUGAGAUCGCCUUUUCUGUCUUCGAGAGGCAAGUCUGUUGGUGGCUGAGGCGAGAUCACCUUUUCUGUCUUCGAGAGACGAGUUUGUUGACAGCGGAGGCAAGAUCGCUUUUUCUGUCUUCAAGAGACGAGUUUGUUGGCGGCGGAGGCAAGAUCGCUUUUUCUGUCUUCGAGAGGCAAGUCUGUUGGUGGCUGAGGCGAGAUCACCUUUUCUAUCUUCAAGAGACGAGUUUGUUGACGACGGAGGCAAGAUUGCUUUUUCUGUCUUCAAGAGACGAGUUUGUUGGCGGUGGAGGCAAGAUCGCUUUUUCUUUCUUCAAGAGGCGAGUCUGCUGGCAGUGGAGGCGAGAUCACCUUUUCUGUCUUCGAGAGACGAGUCUGCUGGCGGCAUAG